UCUACAGAGAGUGGUCACAGAUGAGCGCGGCGGGAGGCGAGGGCGGCACACACCUGGGAGCGCCGGGGCGGGCGCGCGCCGGGCACGCAGGGACCCGCGAGGUCGAAGACAGGGCAGUGUCGUCACGGCCCCCGCGCUCCGGCCCGAAGGGGUGGCCGCAGAGCUCGAUGCUGGGGGCGGUCUCGACCACCCGCCCGCAGGCUCUCUGGGUCCCUCUCCUCGUUCUCCUGCCGCUGGCCAGGCCGGGCGGGGAGUGUGUUUGCUGAGGAUGACGCUCCGGCCCCGGGGUGACCAGAGGACAGCAGUGUUGUCGGAGUCGGGGAGUACGACCCACCGGGGGCCAGAUCGUGUUCCCCAGAGGCGGGUGGGAGAUCGGGAAGAUGGAGACCCGGAGGGGGCGCCUCGCUACUUUAAACUGUUGGAGGAGGAGACUAGAAAUCUGUCUCCUGGGUGAAUUCACAAGUCAGCGUGGCCCCUGGAGCGGCUUCCUGCCUCUGAUUUGGCCCCAAAGGAGAGACUCACACAUGGAGUGGGGGAUCAGAGGGCUGGAGGCUGAGGGCAGGGCACCAGACCCGGGCCUCACACGGUGGCCAGGCGGGCUCCAUCUCAUCUGACCCCUGCGGCAGGCCUGCCUCCCUGACGGGACGAGGGCCAAGUAGAGGAGCCACCGGCCUAAGGUCACACAGCUCGGGUGGACAGCACUUAUACGGGCUCUCAGCUUUCCGAUUUCAAGGCCAGUGCUCACUCCACAGCCGCCCCACCUGCCCCCCAGUGGGCCUCUGGCCUCCUGCUCUGUCCCCCCAUGGCCUCUGGAGACCCAGAGAGUCCCUCCCAGCCUUCAUUUGGGCCCAGGCUGCAGAACCAAGGACAGAAGAUGGGUGGGGAGGGGCGGUUCAGGACCACGGCCAUAGCCAGCAGAGCCCUGGAGGACGCCGGAGUAGCCGGGGGACCCAGAGCCCAAUGGGCCGCACUCCCUCGCAUGUUGUGAGGUCCGGGCAGAUUCCUGAGAUGGAACUGAUGAGGCGGGGGACCGAGAGGAGGGGACUUCAGGGACAAGGGCACCAACGCCUGUCCAGGUGAAAGUCCCAAGACAACAAAAACAGCAGGGAAGGAACCGGCGUCUACUGAGAAUACAAACUGUGUGUGAGGGGUCUGACCUUUCAAGAUCUGUACUAACAAUCCCGUGACGUGGGUACUUCAGCAGGUGUUACAAAUGAGGAAACUGAGGCCCAGUGACAGAGAAGUGUUAUGCAGCACACCUAGGAUUCAAAUCCUCGUCUUUUGGUUCCAAAGCUUAUGUUUUGGGGGUACAUUACCUCAGCCCAUUGACGAUGUCCUUUGUUUUCCCAAAGUAGAUCUCAUUCAGCGUACUUCUGAUUUUAUUUUCCAUGUCCUGGGAAGGGAGGUCAGUCAGACAGGAUGGCCAACAGGCGUCCUGAGGCCCACACCCUCCCGGUUCCACCGGCUCACCCCUGCAGUCCCCGCAGUGGCCACAGGGGGGAGGCGUGAGACCGCACCAAAGCCCAGUGAGCCAGCCACCCCCACGCCCCCUCGGGGCCAAGACCCCGCCUAUCAUUUGUGCUCUGAGCCCUUCCCAGGCUUCAGACACCAGGAAGCCAAUAGUCAGGGACUGGCGGCCACCGCUGACCACGACAGGAGCAGGUCUAAACCACAUCACCACCUCUCAGGCCCCCCACCAACUUCAGGAACAACUGUGUGAAGCCGGAGAGCACCCUUCCCUCCAAAGAGCGUGGGGAAGGGAAGGCAGAAGCAGCUGCGGCCAGAGAGCCUCCUGAAGUUCCUCCUGAGCCCGUGACCUUGUAGGGACACUUCCUCUCUGAGCUCAGGUCUCUCCUGGCACCCAGCGGGCCGGGGGAGCAGGACCGAGGCCUUCCUGCGCAGCCUCCUGGGAGCACGCGCUACGGGGCACAGAGGGGGUGCCCCGGGAGCUGAGCCCUGCGUGCAUUCCCAUCAGGAGGCUCGGAACACACGAGCCCAGGGCAAAAGGGCCAAAACAGAAACACGCUGCUGGCCGUUAAGGCGCUGCGCACCGGGGAGGAGGCCCGCAGGCCCGCACACACCCCUGGGGGCAGGAUGUCUGGCGCUGGGGCGCGACCCAGAGCCCAGAGCCCCACUCACCUCUACCAGGCGCCCGAUAUUGGCUAUGUGUGGGGAGCAGUCGCUCACGGUCUCAUCCUUCUCCAUCUGCAAGAGAGAAGAACAUCCCUCCACGUCAGAGCCGCACACGGCAGCCUCUGCCGACAGCACAGGCCAGCCCUGUGCUUUGCGCACAGCCCGUCACUCCCGCCGGUAGCUGUAGAGUCAGCUGCAGGUGGUACAAGGCCACUGUUCCAGCACGGAGCCCAGGCACCGGGGACUUGGGCUUUGGGUCAUCAACAGCUCAGCCAGCAGAGGCCCAGAGGCCCUGUUCCGGAGCACCCCCCUCCCGGCCCCCAGGCCGCAGCAGCGAGGGCAGAGGGAUGGCCCUGGCCAGACACUGGCUCAGGCUGUGGGUCCCCUCAUACUGCACAAGAGCCUCCACUGCCCUGUGACAGCAACUUCGGAGGGAGGGGCCAGCAGCCCCGAGAGACGGGGACUGAGGAGCCUCGCCCGAGGUGACACAGGUAGUGUCAGGUCGUGGCCCAGACACUUCUCAGUGCACAGCCUGCGGGGCUGGCCAUGUGGCCGGGGGCAGUUUGAGCAAGAGGAUCUGAACCCAGAUUCCUAGACAGCAACCAAGUAGGGUUUUGGAGGAGGUGGGACCCAGCAGUCGGGUCUUGGGCGGGUCAGUUCUGGUCCAAUAAUCCUAACUACUAAAGUCCUGACAAAGUUUUACUGAAAGUAGUAAAAGGCAGGGGAGGGGAUGACAGAUGAUUCCUGACCUGCACACUUAUGCACGAGGUGUGGACCCCCUACCCCUCUGUCUGUGCAAGGCAGAGUUCCCUCCCAAGACCGUGGAUUCCUUAAGGAGAGCCUUCCCUGUCUACACCUCACAGGGCGCCUAGGACGGUGGUGAGUUACGGAGUGGAGACUCCUAGCAGCCCUGCUCACUGUUGGGUGAAACAGGUCCUCCCGACACAGGAUGAAAAGGUAAGGACAGGAGUACCAAGACAGCCAGAGCUCAGAAUGAAUUCAGACGAGAAAGCCCAGGGGGAGUGGGAAGGUGAAUGGGCUUCAGAGGCAGGAGCGCAGGGCGGAUGCCUGGGGAGGGCAGGGCGGCAGUGUGCUCAGAGGUCAAAGGUCUCUGCUGCUUCCCACACCGAUUUUGACUUUCUUAUCAGACAGAAUGGUUUUCAUGCCAGAAACGGUAGAAGAGACCCAGUUAGGAGCCAGAUGAAGCGAGCAGACGGUAGGAGGGACCCAAGUCACUUUAAAUGAUCAGGCUUCCAGGGUCAGACAGGUCCGAUUCUGUGGACCAGCCAUCCCUGAAAAGUCACAGCACAGAUUCCAGAACACGGGAGGAGGGCGGAGACUGACCCUACUUUCACCAAAAAGGAAGAUUUGAGUUGGAGAUUCAACACUGAUCCACACCAGCCCUGGUGACAGCACCGAGGGUCCAAAUGAUCAGAACCCAGGGACGUGGGCUGGUACGGGACACAACAGCUGCCAAGUGCAGGGUCAUCUACUCCGCUCAGUCCCUGUAAGAGACCUCUGUCUGCAACCCAAGGGAGCGGAAGCUCAAAGAUGUCAAGGCAUCUGCCCCGGUCACGGCAGGUCUCGGCUGGCUGGGGUGAGUGCCAACCACAUUGGCUCCAACGUGAACCUCACCAAGUACAGAAUGGGAACCAAGUCCUGCGAAGAGACGCGUGGUUUCGAGAGGACUUCAAGCUUGAGGACAACGUGACGUGGCUGCCACAAGAGCUUCCACGCAACUUCAGCUACAGAGAUGAACCGUUACCGGUGCCUGGUCAGGGGCAGCCCAGCAGCGCGGCGUCGGCCCCUCUCCCUCCGGGCUGCCCGGCCCGGCCACGUCUGCAGGGCAGGACUCAGUUUAGGGUGCUGGGUUUUAAGAAACCCGUGGGCAAAGCUGGAGGUCCGGUGCUUGCAAGGUCUCGACACCCUGACCCCAAGAAAUGGGCAGGAAUGGGGUAUCUGGCCUGCCCCUGGCACUGGCGACCCUGAGGAGCCUCGAGCCUCAGAGAUCACAAGGGCCCCCACCAAACAGAAGUGAGAGCGCUCCUGAACUCGGAAGUGAUAGCCACUCCCCACCACGUCAAGUUUCCUGAACACCCUUUGUCCUCCCACAAAAGCACGGUCUCUCGCCGCCUUCCCCAGCUCCGCGCAGGAGCUAAAUUCCUGGCAACCUCGGGGAAGUGACGAGGCUGAGCUCACCGAGGGCCCCGUCUUGAACGAGUGCCAACAGCCCAAAGUAAGGCUGGGACUGUCGGCAGAGGGCUUUGGGCCGCCAGGGUUAAGUACAAGCACAUCAGCAACCCAACCUCUUGGGUAUCAUCUCUGCUUCCGAUCAACCUUCAAGGGAACAGAAGGGCAGGAAAACACCAGUCGCCCAAAGGUACAAAAGGUCUGGGGUGAGGGUAGGGGGAGAGUGAGGAGGCCUGGUCUUCUCUAGGAGCAGACUGACUCCCCAGGAGGACACAAGGGGUCCCUAAGCUUGUGGCAGGGGAUCCGAGCCCAAGGAAAAGUCUGGCGGGGACCAGGGACCGGAAAAGGGAAGGAAGACACGGGCUGGGGGUGCGGGCAAGGGGCCCUGGCGCACACAGACGUGUUUCCACAGCCCCCCUGCCCACACCCCUGCUGACUCCCUCCACACCUGGUCAGGGUCAGCUUGCUGGAAACGCUGACCCACCAAAAAUAGAAUGAUUUUUGCAAUGCAUAUAUUAUUACAUCCUUAUAAAAGCGGCUGCCAGAGGAAAACAUUUUUAUGUGCUGUGGCCGCACAGAUGUUCCACAAAGUGGAUCCAACCAAGUCUGAAGUCAGAGCCCAGCCCGCUUGUCCCCAUCAAGCUCCUCUCCUCCGCUGUGGCCUGGAGACGGGAAGGACACGGUAAGUACGUGGAGAGCAGGCCGUCUUCCUCCAGUCCAGUCUCUCCCGUGGCCAUGUGGCAUUUUCCAACAGGCGCAGCCUGGAGGGUGGGACCCUGAAGGGAGCCAGCCCCGCUCCGUGCCCCGCUCUGGAGCCCAAGGGCUGAGGGCCUUGGCCUGCCCAUACCUCCGUUUCCAGGCCUCUACCUGGGCCCACUACGUGCCCAGGACAGGGCCUGGCAGGACGCCAGCUCCAUUCCCGGGGCUCCUCCGGUCCUGGCUCUCAGGCAGAAGCCAGAGACGUCCUCCUGCUGACUGAGCUGUGCUCUGGGUAAGAGCUGGGCUGGAGGCCAGGACUUAACACGCUGUCAAGCCAGAAGACGUGGUCAGACGGCCUCUCAAGGAAGGUUCGGUGUGCCCAGUUUAGGGAAAUUUUAAUUGAGCCUAGAACUGCAUAUAUUCUAGAAGACGGAAAAGUCUCUGCUUAUAGGGUAUGCGGUAGAAGGUAUUUCUGAAUACUAACAGAAAUAGUUAUUAUUUAUUGAGCACAGACCAUGUGUCCAAAUGGUUUUUUAUUUUUCCUCUACAACAGCUUUUCCAAACAGGUGUUAUUAGCUCAACGGUGAGAACGUGGAGACUCAGAGAAGGGGAGUGGACUGUCCGGAUCACACAGCUGGUAAGGGAGCAGGGUAGGACUGACCCAGCUCUGGACAAUCCUGAAGCUUGUUUUUCUUCCAUGAGACCUCUCCGUGGGCUCAACUUCAUGCACAUUCUUUCCCAGAAAAAUCAAAGACAAACCACAAUCCGGGGCUCGGAAAUUCUGACCAGUACCCCACCUCUCCACCUCCCUCCCCCGCAGGGCCCCCUGCGGAUCUCCAGUCCCUUCCUCUCCUGCCUGACUGUCCCUAGAAGCUGAUCCCGCCCAGUGCUGAUCCAGGCCACCUCACGGAGCACAAAGAAGCAAGCAAGUGCUCCCUGAGCUGCGGGGCGUGCUCGCCUGCCUCCUGAAGACGCCACGGGCCUCGUUCCCCUGCUAGAACAUACCGCCUGGCCUAACUGCCAAGCUCAAGUCAAAGGGGAUGUCCCUGCCGUGACACAAGGGCAGGUGACUGCCUUGGAGUUUUCUGGCUUAAAGACAAGUCAUAGGGCGCCUGUAUCCGAGUGGGGAGAGCUCAGCUUGCAGAGGACCCGCCUGAUCCCCCCACUCGACACAACAUUCCACCUUCGUUUCUAAAUGUUUAGAAUCUGAAAAAACUAUCAAACGAACAUCUGGGCCCACCCCGGAUCGGAAACCUUGGAUCUCCUUCCAGAGAUUUAUGGUCUUGCCUCUUUCCCACGUCUCCAGCUGUCACACAGGAGAAGUGACCUCUCAAUGCAACUUCCUUUCUAACAUGUUGGUACUUGGCUUGCAACGUCUUUUCCUUGCUCUACAGCCUUCCCCCUGGGGCCCAGGUGGCAGUCGGCCAGAGGGCACCUUCCGCCCUCCUCCCCUGGAAGGACCAUAUGAUUUGGCUGUGAGGAGCUCCCACAAGCACCGCUGCGCACCCUUCCUCCCCAGCCCCCCAGCCGCCUGGAUUUGCCCCGAUGCUUGUUCCACCUGUUCCACCUUCCAGCCCGUGUCCCCAGGAGGCCUUGCUAGGCGGAGGGUGGAGGCAAGAAAGGGCCAAAGGGGAGGUGACGGGAGAGGGCGCCGAGGGAGCGCAGGCUGGCGCGCCCCUGGUCUGAGCCCACCGGAGCACCUCUGCAGCCUGGGUGUUGUGAGCAGGGGGGGAAAAGUGGCCGUUGUUAAAUUCACCAACGAUUUAAAGAAAGCUCUCCAUGUCUGGGGCACCUGGGCGGCUCAGUCGGUUAAGCAGCUGACUUCAGCUCAGGUCCUGAUCUCCCAGUUUGUGAGUUCGAGCCCUGCAUCGGGCUCUGGGCUGACAGCUCGGAGCCUGGAGCCUGCUUCGGAUUCUUGUCUCCCUCUCUCUCUGCCCCUCCCCAACUCAUGCUCUGUCUCUAUCAAAAAUACACAUCAAAAAAACAAACAAAAAAGGAAGCUCUCCAAGUCCUGCACUUACGCUCCCAGCCACCGAACUGAGAGAGAAGAGGACUGGGGGCAAAGCCUCCAAAGCUGGGGAGGGACCCCUGGGGGCCUCUGUGGGGGAGUGCUCCCGACCACUGGCCAGGAUGGCUUGUAGGGUGGGUGCCUGGUGACACGGGUCCUUCCUUCCAGACGCACACGAGGCAGGAGUGAGUGUGUGGCCGCGGGGAGGCCUAGCUUCCGGAGGGAAAGCCUGGGUCUGGUCACCUCGGGCAUGGCUUGGUAGAGGAGCUCAAAUGAGGAAGCCUCCCCUGACCCCAUCGCUCACAUCAUGACGGGUCACCCACGCCCCGCCCCUCCUGCCUUGUUCUUUGUUACUACCAGCCUCGGGGCUGACACCAGCUCAUGGACUGACCUCCUGGCUGCUGGGCCCAGAGGACAGAUUAAGAGCAGAAAGUACAGCGUGGUACAAGGUAGCCCUCUUUUUUUUUUCUAGACAGACAAAUCUGGCUCCGCCUCCUACUAGACAAAUCAGCACGAGGACAUUACAUAACGGUUCAAACGUCGGUCUCCUCCUCCUGUCGGUUAAACAGGGAGGGGAACGCCACCUCGCUUACAAUUGAAUCAAGGGGGCAGCCCCCCAAAGCACCACGGGUCGCCCACUCUUUAUCACCAGCUUUCCUGGAACCCCUUGGUUCCCGAUCCAAGGCAACCGGACGUUUUCCCGAGGUUCAUCCGGGACACACAGCUAAACCCGCAGCCCUCGUUUCCCGUUUGCUCGGAAGCCACGCAUCAUUAGCCGAGACCUGUCUCCCUGGCCGCGGCCCUGCCCCUCCUCUCAGUUACUUACCUUGGAAACCGGCCCCAGCUUUAACGCACCUCGGAUAAGUUAUGCGACCGGCCGUUAGGAUGACAGAAGCACGAAUCUCCUCAUUAAAGGCCGAGGGCACAAGGCGACACAAACGGGCCCUCGGCCCCGGCCUGGCGGGCUGAGGACAGCCACUCGUCGGGCCCGUGUGGCUUGGCAGCAGGCACCGCUCGCGGCCAGCCGGAACCAGGCCCUGGCCGUGGGCUGGCGGCUCCGACCGAAACUACCAGGAAGGCUGAGGAUUAAAUAUUUGUCCGGGUCGCUGUAAACCAGUGGAAUUAUAAACAGUUUGGAGCGGCACUGGCUACCGUCCCCAGCAGCCUGUCGCCAACCCGCUGUCUCUGCCGUCACUCCAUGUACAAGAUAACACCCGUCAGUUCUCUGCACAAAGCACCUCUCCGCUAGAGUCUCCUGCCUGCCCACAACCAUCCCUCCCCCCCAUGGCGAAAAGCAGCCAGAUUUUACCGCAGGAAACUGACACCCUUUUUUCCCUCUAUACCACCACCAACCUGAAGUCUGGCCAGACUGCUUCAUGCCCCCCCGGCCUUGGGAAAUGAUACUGCGAUGGACACAGGUGGCCGAGGCCAGUGAGACAUUGCUGGGGUUAGAGGAGACCUAUCGUGAAAGGGAAGCUCUUCCCCCCCGCACUGCCCGCCGCCAGAUGUGAGCCAGAGGCCGCCUGCUCCCAUGCGGAGACACGGGAGUCCUGACGCCCUAGGCCCAGUCACACCAAACGAAGCCCGAACGUCUCUCAGUCACACAAAACGCCUCGUUUUCAUUUUGGCUUAAGGCUGUACUUGCUACCAAGAGUCCUCACACAGGACCUGAGUCACAACUGGGACAUUCUCCCAUUCUAAAGUGUUAUCGGGAGUCUGUCCUGAACAUCACAGAAGCAUUUCAAUGUAAAUACCCUAGCAAAAAGAUAGACCCUUCCAAGACCUGAUCUCUGGAAUCACCAAGAGGCCUGUGGGGAGGUCCCCGCGGGCACAGAGGCUGCCCCAGGCCUUCCCUGCGGGGCACCGGCAACUCUUACCUGUCUGGUUAGGCUGCCUCCGAGGUUCAUGGUGCCAGAGCCCGACUUGUUGGUCUGCAGCCACAGCAUCACCGUGGAGGUCAGCUUGUAAUGGGCGGUGCGACCACUGGAUUUCUCCUGCAGGACGAGACGGACAUCAGGACCCUAGAUGCGACCCUGAGCUGAGGAGAGCCUGAACUCAGUUGGAGCCCGAACUCAGGGGCUUAGGAGUCCUAAAGUUGAACUGGAGUGUGAGCUCUGCCACACUAACGCUGUGGUCUUUGGCAAGCUUACUAAACUUCUCCGGGCUUCUGGUUCUUUCCAGAUGAAGGAUCCAGCAAAGUGUGUUCGGGACCCUGAACUCAGGGCCAUUCUACAUUCGAACGUGUCCCUCCCACCACCGUGUGCCACCAGCACAUGACCUUCUUAGAAAAUCCCAGCUGGCUUCUAAAGGGACUGAGUCUACAACCACGUGCACUCAGUUCUUUGGGAUCUUUAGCACCAGGGACUACUGCAACCUUGACUUCUCUCUAUAGAACUAAGUGGCUUUGGGGCGCGUGUAGGAGUGAACAGGGCUUGAACAGGGCUUCACAUAUCACAGCAUCCCCCUCACUUCAAGAAACUUCUGCCGGGAGGUGCGGGGGGAAGGGCCAUACCUGCACUUCCACCACGUGGAUGGAGUCCCAGCAGCCCUUGAUCUUCUUUGAUCCGUCUCCAGCCUUCUUUAUGAGGAUCACUCCAGCAAAACCAUGAUCCAGAUCCCAGAGGUAGACAGAUGAGACGCCGCCUUCAAAAUACCUGCCGGAAACAGGCCCACGUGCCCAUUAGAUGUUAAGCCCGUCAAAUUACAGAUCAUCAGCCCAGGGGUUCGUUUGGCAAAGCUUCAUCUGAAGGUCUGUCUGGAAAUGAGGACCCUCCCUCCCUGCGGUGCUUUCCAGGGCUGACUCUUCACGUGUCCUGAGCACCUGUGCUUGGGGGAGGGGUCCCAAAAGGAACAGGGGCUUAGGAGUCCUAAAGUUGAACUGGACUGUGAGCUCUGCCACACUAACUCUGUGGUCUUUGGCAAGCUUACUAAACUUCUCCGGGCUUCUGGUUCUUUCCAGAUGAAGGAUCCAGCAAAGUGUGUGAUGUGGAAUGGACGCACAAUGGGGGUCAUCACCAGAGUAAUCGUUACUGUUCGACAUCCCUAUCUUUCAGGACAGCUAUUUCACAGGGGGAUCGGGAGAAAAAGACAGCAGAGCCCCCCCCCCCCCAGCUCCCUCCUGGAAAAUCUCCUAACUAAGAACAAAUGCAAGAGGGGAAGAGGACGACAUCAGGCUGGGGUCCCAAAUCCAGGAGACCCAGAGUGACAGCGCGGCAGAACCGGGCGGCCGGGGGCACAGCGGGUCACCAGCCGCUGUGCGGUGAGUACCCGCGUCGCAGCACGCUCUUUAUCAGCCCGCUGCUAGAGCACAUUCUUUACCGGGACGUCUGUGGCCUCUCUGACCCCAAUUAACCUCGGCAUCCACGGUGUGGCAGGCACACUCUGGGGCUCGCUGGGAGGGCCAGCAGCACAUGUGCGGCGCUGAGCACAGGCUUGGGGGGCACGGGGGCCUGGGCCCCGGCCCCCCCAUCACCAGCUGUGGUCACACAUUACCCACCCGCCAACUCUUUAUAAAGUGUUACCAGGUACCGACAGUCUGAACUGGGCCUUAGUUUCAUUAUAAAAUGGGAACAGUAAUACCUACUUUAUAGGACUCGUAAGAGACAAAAAAACAAAACAAAAAACCCCCCAAAAAACCCCACGGGAAAGUAAAAAAAUCUGACCAAAGAUAAUUAUUGAUUUUAAUAACAAAAAUAAGUACUAAAAAUAAACACGUCUGUGAAUUCUCAAUAAAGCUGUUACAUGAUAAAAAUAUA
This is a long non-coding RNA of Felis catus (domestic cat), 10785 nucleotides long. RefSeq lists it as uncharacterized. Lineage: Eukaryota; Metazoa; Chordata; Mammalia; Carnivora; Felidae. The transcript is spliced from 2 exons. The record is from RefSeq and is a predicted model, not a curated record.